CCUACGGGAGACAGCAGUGGGGAAUCUUGGGCAAUGGGCGCAAGCCUGACCCAGCAACGCCGCGUGAAGGAAGAAGGCCCUCGGGUUGUAAACUUCUUUUAUCAGGGACGAAACAAAUGACGAUACCUGAUGCAUAAGCCACGGCUAACUACUUGCCAGCAGCCGCGGUAAUACGUAGGUGGCAAGCGUUAUCCGGAUUUACUGGGUGUAAAGGGCGUGUAGGCGGGAGAGCAAGUCAGACGUGAAAUUCCAGGGCUCAACCCUGGAACUGCGUUUGAAACUGUUCUUCUUGAGUGAAGGAGAGGCAGGCGGAACUCCGUGUGUAGCGGUGAAAUGCGUAGAUAUUAGGAGGAACACCAGUGGCGAAGGCGGCUCACUGGACUGUAACUGACGUUGAGGCUCGAAAGCGUGGGGAGCAAACAGGAUUAGAUACCCUUGUAGUC
This 443-nucleotide ribosomal RNA is filed under the name uncultured bacterium. RNAcentral's name for it is "partial 16S ribosomal RNA". It matches the Rfam family "Bacterial small subunit ribosomal RNA", at positions 338 to 795 of the family's 1533-position model. The record is from RNAcentral.